Molecule: ribosomal RNA, 586 nt
Filed under: uncultured bacterium
Lineage: Bacteria
Description: partial 16S ribosomal RNA
Rfam family: Bacterial small subunit ribosomal RNA
Source: RNAcentral
UGGGAAUUUUGGACAAUGGGCGAAAGCCUGAUCCAGCAAUGCCGCGUGUGUGAAGAAGGCCUUCGGGUUGUAAAGCACUUUUGUCCGGAAAGAAAUCCUUGGCUCUAAUACAGUCGGGGGAUGACGGUACCGGAAGAAUAAGCACCGGCUAACUACGUGCCAGCAGCCGCGGUAAUACGUAGGGUGCAAGCGUUAAUCGGAAUUACUGGGCGUAAAGCGUGCGCAGGCGGUUUGCUAAGACCGAUGUGAAAUCCCCGGGGCUCAAACCUGGGGAAACUGCAUUUGGGUGACUGGCAGGCUAGAGUAUGGCAGAGGGGGGUAGAAUUCCACGUGUAGCAGUGAAAAUGCGUAGAGAUGUGGAGGAAUACCGAUGGCGAAGGCAGCCCCCUGGGCCAAAUACUGACGCUCAUGCACGAAAGCGUGGGGGAGCAAAACAGGAUUAGAUACCCUGGUAGUCCACGCCCUAAACGAUGUCAACUAGUUGUUGGGGACUUCAUUUUCCUUAGUAACGUAGCUAACGCGUGAAGUUGACCGCCUGGGGAGUACGGUCGCAAGAUUAAAACUCAAAGGAAUUGACGGGGUCAUA